Gossypium raimondii (Peruvian cotton) is the source of this 145-nucleotide non-coding RNA. The record is from Rfam. Lineage: Eukaryota; Viridiplantae; Streptophyta; Magnoliopsida; Malvales; Malvaceae.
UAUUAAAAAUUUUAUCCAUUUGUACUGUUAAAAACUGACAUGGUUGACAGAAUAACCCGACAAUGACUAGUGGCAUGUCACAUGUACCUCAUGCUAACAGAUAUGAACCAAUUUUUAAUAGUAGAAAUGAAUGAAUUUUUUAACA